Molecule: transfer RNA, 49 nt
Filed under: Orthocis nigrosplendidus
Lineage: Eukaryota; Metazoa; Arthropoda; Insecta; Coleoptera; Ciidae
Description: partial transfer RNA-Lys
Source: RNAcentral
CAUUAGAUGAAUUAAGAAAAUAGUUUAAUCAUUAGAUGACUGAAAGCAA